This is a long non-coding RNA of Austrofundulus limnaeus, 478 nucleotides long. RefSeq lists it as uncharacterized. The transcript is spliced from 3 exons. The record is from RefSeq and is a predicted model, not a curated record. NCBI's taxonomy places the organism in Eukaryota, Metazoa, Chordata, Actinopteri, Cyprinodontiformes, Rivulidae.
AAGAGAGGCUGCCUGGGGAGAAGUAAGCAGGGCGAGUGGGCGGCUGCUCCACAAGAGGCCUGCAGCUCCACGUGAGGGAAUGCUGCAGUUUGAUUCAGUACCUGCAGGUUGGUUACUCAUUGAGCUGAGGAGAAACAGCAACCGGUGGAGGUACACGGACGACUGUCUAUGGGCGGCCACGCCGUUUGGAGCUAGGGGGUGCGCUUUGAUUGACAGAUCUGCCCGCGUCGUCCGUUCUCUUCUGCAAAGACACGAGAUACAAAGCGCAGGAAGUGGAGGGAGGUUCAGUAACUCGUGGAGGAUACAUUAAUGAGUUCCCGAUUUUUUUAACUUCUUUGGGUGAAACAGCCUUUUCUGUUUGAGGCAUCAACACAUGGAAUUCCCUACCUACAGAUUUGAAACUGAUUUCUCUCUGGAACCAUUUUAGAUCAAGACUAAAGCUUUAUCUGAAGGAGAACUAGUUUURUGAUCAUGAAUA